This 459-nucleotide ribosomal RNA is filed under the name uncultured bacterium. RNAcentral's name for it is "partial 16S ribosomal RNA". It matches the Rfam family "Bacterial small subunit ribosomal RNA", at positions 338 to 795 of the family's 1533-position model. The record is from RNAcentral.
CCUACGGGGAGCAGCAGUGAGGAAUAUUGGUCAAUGGCCGAGAGGCUGAACCAGCCAAGUCGCGUGAGGGAAGAAUGUCCUAUGGAUUGUAAACCUCUUUUGUCAGGGAGCAAAGUCACCCACGUGUGGGUGUUGGAGAGUACCUGAAGAAAAAGCAUCGGCUAACUCCGUGCCAGCAGCCGCGGUAAUACGGAGGAUGCGAGCGUUAUCCGGAUUUAUUGGGUUUAAAGGGUGCGUAGGCGGGUUAUCAAGUCAGCGGUAAAAUCGUGGAGCUCAACUCCAUCCAGCCGUUGAAACUGAUGAUCUUGAGUCCGCGGAAAGCAGGCGGAAUUCGUCGUGUAGCGGUGAAAUGCUUAGAUAUGACGAAGAACCCCGAUUGCGAAGGCAGCUUGCUGCAGCGGAACUGACGCUGAUGCUCGAAAGCGCGGGUAUCGAACAGGAUUAGAUACCCGUGUAGUC